RNAcentral lists this ribosomal RNA (465 nucleotides) under uncultured bacterium. RNAcentral's name for it is "bacterial SSU rRNA". It matches the Rfam family "Bacterial small subunit ribosomal RNA", at positions 29 to 506 of the family's 1533-position model. The record is from RNAcentral.
ACGAACGCUGGCGGCGUGCUUAACACAUGCAAGUCGAACGGUGAUGGCCAGCUUGCUGGUCUGAUCAGUGGCGAACGGGUGAGUAACACGUGAGCAACCUGCCCUUGACUCUGGGAUAACCACGGGAAACGGUGGCUAAUACCGGAUACGAGACGCACACGCAUGUGUGGCGUCUGGAAAGAUUUAUCGGUCAAGGAUGGGCUCGCGGCCUAUCAGCUUGUUGGUGGGGUAAUGGCCUACCAAGGCGACGACGGGUAGCCGGCCUGAGAGGGCGACCGGCCACACUGGGACUGAGACACGGCCCAGACUCCUACGGGAGGCAGCAGUGGGGAAUAUUGCACAAUGGGCGCAAGCCUGAUGCAGCGACGCCGCGUGAGGGAUGACGGCCUUCGGGUUGUAAACCCCUUUCAGCAGGGAAGAAGCGCAAGUGACGGUACCUGCAGAAGAAGCGCCGGCUAACUACGU